This 253-nucleotide ribosomal RNA is filed under the name uncultured prokaryote. RNAcentral describes it as "partial 16S ribosomal RNA". It matches the Rfam family "Bacterial small subunit ribosomal RNA", at positions 524 to 776 of the family's 1533-position model. The record is from RNAcentral.
UACAGAGGGGGCAAGCGUUGUUCGGAAUUACUGGGCGUAAAGGGCGCGUAGGCGGCCGAUCAAGUCGGAGGUGAAAUCCCUCGGCUCAACUGAGGAAUUGCCUUCGAUACUGCUCGGCUUGAGUCCUGGAGAGGGUAGCGGAAUUCCAGGUGUAGCGGUGAAAUGCGUAGAUAUCUGGAGGAACACCGGUGGCGAAGGCGGCAUCCUGGACCGGUAUUGACGCUGAGGCGCGAAAGCCAGGGGAGCAAACGGG